GAUGAACGCUGGCGGCGUGCUUAACACAUGCAAGUCGAACGGAAAGGCCCAAGCUUGCUUGGGUACUCGAGUGGCGAACGGGUGAGUAACACGUGGGUGAUCUGCCCUGCACUUCGGGAUAAGCCUGGGAAACUGGGUCUAAUACCGGAUAGGACCACUUCUUGGAUGUGGUGGUGGAAAGUUUUUUCGGUGUGGGAUGAGCUCGCGGCCUAUCCGCGUGUUGGUGGGGUAAUGGCAUACCAAGGCGUGGACGGGUAGCCGGCCUGUGAGGGUGUACGGCCACCUUGGGACUGAGAUACGGCCCAGACUCCUACGGGAGGCAGCUGUGGGGAAUAUUGCACAAUGGGCGCCAGCCUGAUGCAGCGACGCCGCGUGGGGGAUGACGGCCUUCGGGUUGUAAACUCCUUUCGCUAGGGACGAAGCGUUUUGUGACGGUACCUGGAGAAGAAGCACCGGCUAACUACGUG
RNAcentral lists this ribosomal RNA (467 nucleotides) under uncultured bacterium. RNAcentral describes it as "partial 16S ribosomal RNA". It matches the Rfam family "Bacterial small subunit ribosomal RNA", at positions 28 to 507 of the family's 1533-position model. The record is from RNAcentral.